Orycteropus afer afer is the source of this 71-nucleotide non-coding RNA. Lineage: Eukaryota; Metazoa; Chordata; Mammalia; Tubulidentata; Orycteropodidae. The record is from the annotation of a RefSeq genome assembly.
ACAGUCGUGGUUCAGUGGGAGAACUCUUGCCUCCCAUGCAGGAGACCUGGGUUCGAUUCCCAGCCAAUGUA